CUAUCACAAUUAAUAUUGUUCAACUUAUUUUCGCCAUUUGAUAAGUAAUAGUACAGACUGGAACCACAAUAUUCAUUUUUUCUUAUACACCAGUCAUUUUGACUGGUGCUGGUAGAAAUAGGUAUAUAUAAAUAGCUGGUAAAUCUAGUGUUAACACGGGGUCGUUUCCAUACUAGGCGGUACAGGAUAGUCCCGAUCUUCUGAACAGACUUGAAUGAACUAAAAACAUCCGUAGCCGAUCGAGUCAACUAGAAAAAUAAGCUAGCGGCGGUCGCCGUUGGCCCCAUUUUUCUUGUUGAAAAAAACCGGCGUCGACAUUUUCAAAUAUGGCGUCGACCGCCGAAAUUUUUGACGACAGAAGUGUCUGUCUCCUGGUCUGCUAUACAUUUUCUGUAGGCGUUAAGAUCAACACUGAAAAAUAUUUCGACAUAAAAAAGCGCAAAAUAAAAAAAAUACUAAGUCAGCGCUAUUAUCUUAAGUCACCAAAGUGAAGUUGUGUACUCUAGCUUCUUCUUCUUCUUGGAUGGCACUACCGUUCCAGUGAAACUUUUGCCUUCUCAACGCAGCAUUACUUGCGUCAUUUUUAUUAGUAGUGCUUGGUUGAGAUUUCUAUGCCGAAUAACACGCCUUGAAUGUACUCUGGAGGGGCAAGCUCUAGAAUACGCGUGACCACAGUGCAAGCCGGAAGAAUUUUCUUUCACGAAAAAUCCCCCGACCAGAACGGGAAUCGAACCCGAACCCCCGGCAUGAUAGUGUGGGACGCUAACCACUCGGCCACGGGAGCACGUACUCUAGCGCCGAAUCGUAAUGAAAAUAUUCGGUGGCGGAGUUGCGCCGUGGCGAAUUUUCGUUCGGCAAUGAAACGAUUGCGAUGAGUUGUGAUGAUAUUGAAAGUGGAAUACAGCUGGAAUCCGACGAAUGCAUGGAAAUUGAGGUAGGUUCAGUUUGUAUUAAUCUAUGACUUCAGUAAAAAUUUUAUUACGACAAAAUUAAUUCAUAAUAAAAAUUGCGCUUUUUUCUGUGUGGCAUUCAUACCCCUGAGUUCACUUUUUAAAAACAUGAAUAGAAACUAUUGCUACAUGUUCUUUAAAUGUAUUAUUAAAAGAGCUUCUGAAUGUUUCCACCAGAACCCAAUGAUAAAUGGGUCUGAAAAGUUGAACGAAUUGGUAUGAAAAUAUGGAGAAAUUUGCGUUAGUGAUACUAAAGCCUAUGAUCAUAACGCGAAAUCCAACAGUCACAUAAUUUCCGUUGUUUCCUAUUAUAAGAAGAGAUGUCGACCAGGAAUAUCAUUUCAUAAUCAAAAGGGAUGAAACACGGUACGUGGAAUGGAUUCAACGGAUAAAAAUUGAAAAUCAUCCGGCUAAGCAGUUUAAAUUUCAGCAUGUCGAUAUUCUACUAAGUAAUUAUCAUCAAUUUUCACGUAUUAUUUUUUUCAGAAACAAAACGUUUAACUAAACUAUUAAUUUGUAUGGCUCGAACCUUGGCGAUGGUAAUUGAGGACAGGUUAAAAACUCUCAAGCCAUUAUUGUUCACCUGUUCAACACAAACGAGCAGCAAUUCAUUUAAUCCUCGACGACCAAACGAUUUUCUCCGGCAGCGAAAUUGAAAAUAUCGACAGAUCAAGAAAUCAUGUCUAUAUAUUUUUUAUCUGCUUCUAUAGAAAUUUCCCACCCUAAUUAAAAUAAACAUUAGAGAAAAUCAAUUUGAGUAUUUUAUGCGUCUGAAUAAACCACAAAAACGUAAACAUCGAUUAAAUUUUCUUCUACGCUUCAUCUGAUUCGCUACUCAAAAGUGUCGUUUGACUGACCGAUGAAAAAACACUUUCGUACGAAAACGAGGAUAGGGCAAUUCGUUCGAACGAACGAUGUUCGAAUGUUCGAACGGAUAGAUUUCUUUCGUACGAAACCAAGGAUACGAAUGAGGCAUUCUUUCGAACGUUUUGUGUUCGUUCGAAAACAAGAAUAAGGGUGUUUAUUUUUUUGGUUCGUUAAGUUAGUGUAUAGAAUAAUAUUAGGUGAUUAAUAGCAGUAAUAGACGAUAAUAUCUACUGUUUGCGCCACGCGGAGCGAGCGCAUACGUGUUGCGACAUGACCUGUCAUUCCAUUGCAUCACCCAGAGACGUGCGAAAGUGAGAUGAAAGCAGUAUCAACACAACAAACGAAUAUCACCCGAGCUAUCCGAGCGAAGCCGACAGGACAAACACCCCACCAAUUUCAGGGAGUAUAAAAGUAGCAGAGCAGCAUAUGAUCCAUCUUUAUAAGUUUUUAUUCACCACGUGUAUUUAGAAACCAUUAGAGAAAGUUAUAGUGAAAAUUUGGACUUUGAAAACUAGUGUCGUUUUUUCCUACAGUAAAUUUAGUCAGACCCUUUCCAACCGGAGUACUAUAAGGAUUGAGAAAUGUGUACUGUGAAGAUGGCAUCCUCUUAUAAAAUUAAUUUAGAGAUGUGUUUAGAAGCGGUUAACAGUUUAAUUUCAACCAAGUGCCUAGAAUAUGAUUUCAAGUUAAAUUUUAAGAACAUGCAAGUAAUUUUGGAGCGUAUGGGAUUAGAUAAAACGAACUAUCCUAGUAUGAAGGUAAUCAAAAGCCUUCUAAUGAAACAUCGAAAAUCCGUAAAACGGUUUGCUCCUGAGAUUACUUUGCAGAAUUGUUGGGAUGCAGCGAAUGAUUUGAUCGCUAGAGAAGAGUUGGAUGAGCUAUUCGAAUUGAAUUCUAAGAAUCUGAAAGAAAUUCUUGUAGAAAUGGGAUUAAACGAAAAAUGCGCACCUAACUUAAAAAAAGUUAGGAAUAACUUCGCUUGUAAUCCAACAUAUAAGAAGUAUCGUGCAGAACGAAAGGUGAGAACCCUUAUAAUUGUUAUAAGCUUCCUGAAAUUAAUAAAACUAUUUUGAAAUUUUCAAUGUGAAAUCAUUUCCGCAGAAUAUUGAACAUUCAAUUGCCGCUGAAAGUCAUAACGUAAGUGUAAAAUAUCAAAUUGCUUUGAAAUAGUCACGCCAUACAGUAACUUCAAAUUUUUAUAGAUCGAUAAUUUCAAAGAAUGUUCUUUUGAGAAUGAAAGUGCCUGCUUGCCACAAGACUGCGUUGGAGUUCAUGAACAGCUUUUAUUAAAUAAAACAGAUCAUAUGUCCGAAACAAACUCAUCUCCUUCACGUGUCGAAACAAGAACAUUAUCAUUUGUAUCAUUUGACACAAACGAUUUCGAGGAAUUGGCCGACUCUCAAAGUACUACUUUUGACGGCGUUGAUAAUACGGGAAAAGAUAACGAACAACCUCCAUUCGGAUUUUUAUUGAAAGGAACAGAUUUAUCGCGUGUCGAAAUAAAAUCAUUAUCCGUCGAGUUUCCUGCAAAAGUAUGUAAGAAAGGAAUGGAACUUAAUGCUCCAGAAAUUGAAUGUCGCAUUUUUGAAACAUCAGUAAGUCAAAUGCAAGAGAGAUCAACGAACGACAUGCAAGACUCGAUUGUUUCAUUUGAUACCAAUGAUCUUGAAGGAUCGACCAAAUCACAAGAUACUACUUAUAGCAGUGAUGUAGA
Molecule: long non-coding RNA, 3531 nt
Organism: Toxorhynchites rutilus septentrionalis
Lineage: Eukaryota; Metazoa; Arthropoda; Insecta; Diptera; Culicidae
Exons: 3
Source: RefSeq, a predicted model, not a curated record